RNAcentral lists this ribosomal RNA (507 nucleotides) under uncultured Glomeraceae. RNAcentral's name for it is "SSU rRNA". It matches the Rfam family "Eukaryotic small subunit ribosomal RNA", at positions 569 to 1078 of the family's 1831-position model. Lineage: Eukaryota; Fungi; Glomeromycota; Glomeromycetes; Glomerales; Glomeraceae. The record is from RNAcentral.
AGCAGCCGCGGUAAUUCCAGCUCCAAUAGCGUAUAUUAAAGUUGUUGCAGUUAAAAAGCUCGUAGUUGAAUUUCGGGAUUAAUUUAUUGGUCGUGCAAUAGUACGUACUGGUAUUAUUGAUUCCUACCUUCUGACGAACCAUGAUGUCAUUAAUUUGGUGUCAUGGGGAAUCAGGACUGUUACUUUGAAAAAAUUAGAGUGUUUAAAGCAGGCUCACGCUUGAAUACAUUAGCAUGGAAUAACGAAAUAGGACGUUUGAUUCUAUUUUGUUGGUUUCUAGGAUCGACGUAAUGAUUAAUAGGGAUAGUUGGGGGCAUUAGUAUUCAAUUGUCAGAGGUGAAACUCUUGGAUUUAUUGAAGACUAACUACUGCGAAAGCAUUUGCCAAGGAUGUUUUCAUUAAUCAAGAACGAAAGUUAGGGGAUCGAAGACGAUCAGAUACCGCCGUAGUCUUAACCAUAAACUAUGCCGACUAGGGAUCGGAUGAUGUUAAUUUUUUAAUGACUCA